This 424-nucleotide ribosomal RNA is filed under the name Verrucomicrobiota bacterium. Its description in RNAcentral is "Verrucomicrobia bacterium partial 16S ribosomal RNA". It matches the Rfam family "Bacterial small subunit ribosomal RNA", at positions 355 to 776 of the family's 1533-position model. Lineage: Bacteria; Pseudomonadati; Verrucomicrobiota. The record is from RNAcentral.
UGAGGAAUAUUGGUCAAUGGGCGAGAGCCUGAACCAGCCAAGUAGCGUGCAGGAUGACGGCCCUAUGGGUUGUAAACUGCUUUUAUAUGGGAAUAAAGUGAGUGACGUGUCCCUUAUUGCAUGUACCAUAUGAAUAAGGACCGGCUAAUUCCGUGCCAGCAGCCGCGGUAAUACGGAAGGUCCAGGCGUUAUCCGGAUUUAUUGGGUUUAAAGGGAGCGUAGGCUGUUUGUUAAGCGUGUUGUGAAAUGUAAGAGCUCAACUUUUAGAUUGCAGCGCGAACUGGCAGACUUGAGUGCGCACAACGUAGGCGGAAUUCAUGGUGUAGCGGUGAAAUGCUUAGAUAUCAUGACGAACUCCGAUUGCGAAGGCAGCUUACGGGAGCGCAACUGACGCUAAAGCUCGAAGGUGCGGGUAUCGAACAGG